AAAGAGACAAAAACUCAAAAACAAAGAAAAUUAACAGAAAAGAAAAAUGGCAGAGGCUAAUUCGUAUGCAGCUCUUACCAAAGCUUUCUCAGGACUUGGUGUGGAUGAGAACUUAUUCAUCUCAACACUGGGGAAAUGGAAUCGGCAUCAGAGGGAAUCGUACAGGGUAAGCACUCCUGGAUUCUUCAGAGAAGACAAACGACAGUUCCAGAGAUGGGAUGAUCAACAUAUCCUCCAGCUUCGUCAAGAGUUUUUGCGUCUUAAGGAUGCAGUGGUUUUGUACACAAUGCACCCAUGGGAAAGAGAUGCUCGUUUGUUCAAGGAAGCAUUAUUAUUGCAAGUACCUAAACAUGAUGUUCUCAUUGAGAUUGCUUGCACUCGAUCCUCUGAAGAUCUUCUUGGAGCCAGAAAAGCUUACCAUUCCCUUUUUGAACACUCAAUUGAGGAAGACAUUGCCUUCCAUGUUCGAAGUUCUGAAAGAAAGCUUCUAGUUGCUCUUGUAAGUUCCUACCGUUAUGAAGGUCCACGAGUAAACGAUGAUCUUGCAAAAUCUGAGGCUAAGAUUUUUGUAAAUGCAAUAAAAAAUGCCAACAAGAAGAAGCUGAUUGAUGAGGAUGAAGAGAUUGUGAGGAUCCUUUCGACAAGAAGCAAGCUCCAUCUUAAGGCCAUCUAUAGCCAUUACAAGGAAAUCACUGGCAACUUCUUGGACGAGGAUCUUGAGUGUGACUUGACCUUGAAACAAGUUGUUCAAUGCCUUUGUAUACCUAAAGCAUACUUUAGCAAGAUUUUGAUCGCGUCCCUAAGAUUGGAUGUGGAUGAAUCUGCUAAAGACUCAGUUACCCGAGUCAUAGUGUCAAGAGCAGACGAUGAUGAUAUGCAGCAAAUCAAAGAAGAAUUUCAGAGCAAAUAUGGAACUACUUUGGCUGAAAAGAUUGCAGAAGUUGCUAAUGGAAGCUACAAGGAUUUCUUGCUUACUAUAAUUGCAAAAUCUGAGUAAUUAUUUGGCCUAGAUUUUGACAUAUCCAAAGUUGUUCCAUGUUCUCACACGCUUGUUUCCAUUUGAUCUUCUUUUGCUCAAUUUAUGUAUGAUUUCAG
Molecule: unclassified non-coding RNA, 1095 nt
Filed under: Hevea brasiliensis (rubber tree)
Lineage: Eukaryota; Viridiplantae; Streptophyta; Magnoliopsida; Malpighiales; Euphorbiaceae
Source: RNAcentral